Molecule: ribosomal RNA, 253 nt
Filed under: uncultured bacterium
Lineage: Bacteria
Description: partial 16S ribosomal RNA
Rfam family: Bacterial small subunit ribosomal RNA
Source: RNAcentral
UACGUAGGGUGCGAGCGUUGUCCGGAAUUAUUGGGCGUAAAGAGCUCGUAGGCGGUGUGUCGCGUCGGCCGUGAAAACCUGGGGCUAACUCUGGGCGUGCGGUCGAUACGGGCAUCACUUGAGUUCGGCAGGGGAGACUGGAAUUCCUGGUGUAGCGGUGAAAUGCGCAGAUAUCAGGAGGAACACCGGUGGCGAAGGCGGGUCUCUGGGCCGAUACUGACGCUGAGGAGCGAAAGCAUGGGUAGCGAACAGG